UAAUUCCUCCACAAACAUCACACACCUGUCACUGUCACAUCGAGUUCUGGAUUCUGACUGGGACUCGUACAGCUGAUAUGGUGAAGUUUUCUGUAAGGAGAAAUGUGUUUAUGUAACAUGUACGGAAGGAGUCUCCAGUGUCAGCGCUGUGUAACAGUCAGAGGGCUGAAAAUGUUCCAGAUUUCUCCUCACAUACUCGUGUAGGAACUUGUCUUACGGACGUUAGCGUGUGUGUUCCCUCAUCUUUAUCUCCUGGUGACUCUUAAAGACGUUUAUAAACAUUUCGGUGUUGCUAAAGACUCAGAUGGAGUAAAAUAUAAACCAGCCACACACAAGUUCACGUCCAAUGUGAAUACCGCACGAGUGAAUCAGCGAGUGAAUCAUUUAGGAAAUGUACAAAUUUGUUCCACAGAGACUUUAAUCUGUUUUUU
Long non-coding RNA from Ictalurus punctatus (channel catfish), 431 nucleotides. RefSeq lists it as uncharacterized. Lineage: Eukaryota; Metazoa; Chordata; Actinopteri; Siluriformes; Ictaluridae. The transcript is spliced from 3 exons. The record is from RefSeq and is a predicted model, not a curated record.